GAGUUUGAUCUUGGCUCAGGACGAACGCUGGCGGCGUGCUUAACACAUGCAAGUCGAACGGUGAACCCUUCGGGGGGAUCAGUGGCGAACGGGUGAGUAACACGUGAGCAACCUGCCCUUGACUCUGGGAUAACCCCGGGAAACCGGAGCUAAUACCGGAUAUGACGCACGGAGGCAUCUCCUGUGUGUGGAAAGAUUUAUUGGUCAAGGAUGGGCUCGCGGCCUAUCAGCUUGUUGGUGGGGUAAUGGCCUACCAAGGCGACGACGGGUAGCCGGCCUGAGAGGGCGACCGGCCACACUGGGACUGAGACACGGCCCAGACUCCUACGGGAGGCAGCAGUGGGGAAUAUUGCGCAAUGGGCGAAAGCCUGACGCAGCGACGCCGCGUGAGGGAUGAAGGCC
This 402-nucleotide ribosomal RNA is filed under the name uncultured bacterium. RNAcentral describes it as "bacterial SSU rRNA". It matches the Rfam family "Bacterial small subunit ribosomal RNA", at positions 9 to 416 of the family's 1533-position model. The record is from RNAcentral.